UGGGGAAUUUUCCGCAAUGGGGGGAACCCUGACGGAGCAACGCCGCGUGCGGGAGGACGGCCUGUGGGUUGUAAACCGCUUUUCUCUAGGAAGAAGGUCUGACGGUACUAGAGGAAUCAGCAUCGGCUAACUCCGUGCCAGCAGCCGCGGUAAGACGGAGGAUGCAAGCGUUAUCCGGAAUUAUUGGGCGUAAAGCGUCCGUAGGCGGUUUAUCAAGUCAGUUGUUAAAGACUGCAGCUCAACUGUGGGCGAGCAACUGAAGCUGAUUAACUAGAGUGCGGUAGGGGUAGAGGGAAUUCCCAGUGUAGAGGUGAAAUUCGUAGAUAUUGGGAAGAACACCGAUGGCGAAGGCAGCCAUCUGGACCGGUAUUGACGCUGAGGCGCGAAAGCGUGGGGAGCAAACAGGAUUAGAUACCCCGGUAGUCC
This 426-nucleotide ribosomal RNA is filed under the name uncultured prokaryote. RNAcentral describes it as "bacterial SSU rRNA". It matches the Rfam family "Bacterial small subunit ribosomal RNA", at positions 355 to 796 of the family's 1533-position model. The record is from RNAcentral.